AUAAAGAAAAUGAAACCUGGAGGAAGGAGUUUCUCAGGAUCAUAUGACUAGCAAAAAAUGGAGCCACAACAUGAAUUCAGAUCUUCUGAUUUCAUAUUCUUACUUUGGAAGAUAAGAUAUUCAGGAUGCUUACUGGGCAGAGGACAAAAGAAAGGUGUCCACAUCUCCAAUUCCCAUCAGAUGAGCUAUUUUAGAAACCUGCAGCAAGUCGGAUUUGGAGUUGAAAGGAAUGUUGGAGGCCAUCCAGUUGAAUCCUCUUAUUUUACAGCUGAGGAAACAGAGGCUCAGAGCUAA
Molecule: long non-coding RNA, 294 nt
Filed under: Monodelphis domestica (gray short-tailed opossum)
Lineage: Eukaryota; Metazoa; Chordata; Mammalia; Didelphimorphia; Didelphidae
Description: lncRNA (ENSMODG00000035788.2)
Source: RNAcentral